GAUGAACGCUGGCGGCGUGCUUAACACAUGCAAGUCGAACGGUGAAGGCGGAGCUUGCUCUGCUGGAUCAGUGGCGAACGGGUGAGUAACACGUGAGCAAUCUGCCCCUGACUCUGGGAUAAGCGCUGGAAACGGCGUCUAAUACUGGAUACGAGCUGCGAAGGCAUCUUCAGCAGCUGGAAAGAACUUCGGUCAGGGAUGAGCUCGCGGCCUAUCAGCUUGUUGGUGAGGUAACGGCUCACCAAGGCGUCGACGGGUAGCCGGCCUGAGAGGGUGACCGGCCACACUGGGACUGAGACACGGCCCAGACUCCUACGGGAGGCAGCAGUGGGGAAUAUUGCAAAAUGGGCGAAAGCCUGAUGCAGCAACGCCGCGUGAGGGACGACGGCCUUCGGGUUGUAAACCUCUUUUAGCAGGGAAGAAGCGAAAGUGACGGUACCUGCAGAAAAAGCGCCGGCUAACUACGUG
RNAcentral lists this ribosomal RNA (468 nucleotides) under uncultured bacterium. RNAcentral describes it as "partial 16S ribosomal RNA". It matches the Rfam family "Bacterial small subunit ribosomal RNA", at positions 28 to 507 of the family's 1533-position model. The record is from RNAcentral.